CUAGGGAGCAGGAAUAGCAAGUGCAAAGGGCCUCAGGUGGAAGCACGCUGGCACACUUAAGGAACAGCCAGGGAGCAAGUGUGGCUGGAGUGUGGUGGGGAAGAGGGAGGGGGUGGAACAUGAGAUUGGAGGUCACCUGGGCCAGAUCACACAGGCCAGAAAAUGAUGAGAAGUGAUUGGAGAGAAGUGACAGGAAGAUGUUUUGAAAGAAUCCCCCUGGCUGCUGUGAAGAUAACAGAAGAAAACAGAGAGAUUACAGCUGACCUUUGGAAAGAUAGGCGACAACGUAGGACAGUGUAAGAGCCAAUGAAGGGAGCAAACAUCAG
Molecule: long non-coding RNA, 326 nt
Filed under: Equus asinus (donkey)
Lineage: Eukaryota; Metazoa; Chordata; Mammalia; Perissodactyla; Equidae
Description: lncRNA (ENSEASG00005028761.1)
Source: RNAcentral